GACUACAUUGCCUAGCUAUGAAUAGAAACCAACAUUGGCCAGAGUGGAGGAUGCCUGGAUCCCAAUGUUAGGAACAACUUCCUUGUUUGUCAGGAGGAGGGUGGGGAGCAGGGCGGGGAAUUAACUGCUGACAAGCAGAGAAGAAAGCAGUAGGCGGUUAGGAGGAUCUGCAUGCAGCCCCUGGUGUGGACGAAUCUUGCCUCCCAAUCAACUGCAGUCAUCGUUGGAAGAAGCGGAUGCAGAAGAGAAGGACCCAUCCCAAGGAGCAGAAGAGGACCCAGUUCAUCAGCCAGAGAGCCUGAUAGAGAAGCUUUUUGAUUUAUCCCCCUCUCUCUCUCUCUUUCUGUCCCCUCCUUACUCUAACAUGACUAACCAUCUCCCUUCCCCUCCUCUACUCUCAACUCUCUUCUGCCCUUUCCCAAAGUAACAGUCCCCUUUU
Molecule: long non-coding RNA, 439 nt
Organism: Saccostrea echinata
Lineage: Eukaryota; Metazoa; Mollusca; Bivalvia; Ostreida; Ostreidae
Exons: 4
Source: RefSeq, a predicted model, not a curated record